GGCGUAGUGAAAGGGAACCGUCUGAACUGAAACAUCUUAGUAGGGCGAGGAAAAGAGAGUAAAUAACGAUUCUGGGAGUAGUGGCGAGCGAAACUGGAAUAGCCCAAACCUUGUAUUGUUUUGUUCUCAUCAUCCGGACUGAUAUGCCUAUCUCGGUAGGUGAGUCGGUAUGGAUGGUGAGAACGAUAUGGCUGACAGGCUAAUGCAAUCAGGGUGUUGUGAGUCUACAGAGUUUUAAGAUCCAGCACUUCUACACGGAGUGUUGAAUCUUAAAAGUGACGACUGUCAUCGAGCACAUAAGGUAAAAAAUCGGCGUGGUUAGCAGAACGAGCUGGAAAGCUUAGCCAGAGACUGUGAUAGCCAGGUAUGCGAAAACGACGCUGACCUUAUUCUGUAUUCUCGAGUAGGUCGGGGCACGAGAAACCCUGAUUGAAUCCGGCUGGACCACCAGCCAAGGCUAAAUAUAGUAUAUGAUCGAUAGUGAACUAGUACGGUGACGGAAAGGUGAAAAGAACCCCGGGAGGGGAGUGAAAUAGAACCUGAAAUUUUGUGCCUACAAGGAGUCGGAGCCGGGAUAAGGUAAAUCUACCUCAUCUGCUUUCCGAAAGGGAAAAGAGCAGCGAGCUUGGUUUUGCUUUAGCAAAACUCAGCUUUGCUGACGAGCGAUGAGAAAAAACCGUAGGUUUGUCUCAUCCCGGUGACGGCGUGCUUUUUGUAGAACGAUCCAGCGAGUUAAUUUUUACGGCGAGGUUAAGUCAGAUGACGAAGCCACAGUGAAAGCGAGCAUUAACAGUGCGAUUUAGUCGUAAGGAUUAGACCCGAAACCAGGUGACCUAACCAUGAGCAGGUUGAAGCAACCUUAAUCGGUUGUGGAGGACCGAACCAGUGUAUGUUACAAAAUGCUUGGAUGACUUGUGGUUAGCGGUGAAAUGCCAAUCGAACUUGGAGAUAGCUGGUUCUCCGCGAAAUAGUUAUAGGACUAGCGUCGUGUGAUAGCUUACGGGGGUAGAGCUCUGUCAAGAGAUAGGGGGAGCAAUCCUACCUACUCUUAAUAAACUACGAAUACCGUAUGUCUGUAUCACGGCAGUUAGAACGUCGGUGCUAAGAUCGGCGCUCAAAAGGGAAACAGCCCAGACCAUCAUCUAAGGUCCCCAAAUUUACGCUAAGUGGGAAACAAGGUGGAAUUUCUUAAACAGCUAGGAUGUUGGCUUAGAAGCAGCCAUUCAUUUAAAGAGUGCGUAACAGCUCACUAGUCAAGAGAUUCUGCGUGGAAGAUAUAACGGGGCUAAGCGUAAUACCGAAGAUAUGGAUUGCAAUUUAUUGCAGUGGUAGCGGAGCGUUCCUAUCAGCAGUGAAGCCGGACUGUUAAGUACUGGUGGAGCGUUAGGAAGUGAGAAUGCUGGAACGAGUAACCAUAAGACAGGUGAGAAUCCUGUCGGCCGAAAGAGCGAGGUUUCCUGGGCUAUGGUAAUCAUCCCAGGGUUAGUCGGGCCUAAGCCGAGGCGUUUAGCGUAGGCGAUGGACAUCAGGUUAAUAUUCCUGAACUAGUCAAACUUUGUAUGCAGUUAGCGAUGAGAUAGGUGGAGCGGAUUCAUGGUUUAUCCGUUCAAGUGAUAGAGGAAUCUUGAUCGAGUAAAAGUGAACCUACGGGUUUACGAUUCCGCUGAAGGCAUUGACCAGAAAAGCUGGCAUACGCAUGGGUUUGGCUACCCGUACCGCAAACCGACACAGGUGCUCGAGUCGAGGAGACUAAGGCUUACGAGAGAAUGAUUGCUAAGGAACUCGGCAAUACAGCGACCGUAACUUCGGAAUAAGGUCUGCCUACAUUUGUAGGCCGCAGCUAAAGAGCCCACGGAACUGUUUAUCAAAAACUCAGGUCUCUGCUAACACGAAAGUGGAUGUAUAGGGGCUGAAACCUGCCCGGUGCCGGAAGGUUAAGGGGAUUGCUUCACGGUGAGAACUGAAGCCCCGGUGAACGGCGGCGGUAACUAUAACCGUCCUAAGGUAGCGAAAUUCCUUGUCAGGU
This 2026-nucleotide ribosomal RNA is filed under the name human oral metagenome. RNAcentral describes it as "bacterial LSU rRNA". It matches the Rfam family "Bacterial large subunit ribosomal RNA", at positions 167 to 1977 of the family's 2925-position model. The record is from RNAcentral.